UUGUUAGGCUAACUAAGGGUUGGGGGCCAGUUGUGUUUAUUAGUUUGACUUUGACUGAACACAUGUUCAAUGACAAGGAAGCGAAUGAGGUCCAAGUAACCCAUGGGAAAACUUGGAAAGGUGACACAGAUGAAAAGAAAAUUAUUGGAAAAAUUAUGUCAUUGGUGUAGUGCGCCGAGCCGCCGACGCGGCAUGGCCCUGGCGGCUGCUACAGCACCGAAACGACGAGCGGCGACCGUGACGGCACCACGGUCCAAGAGCAUGAAACGAGGAAUAGUCUGGAACGAGGAAGUCGAAGACGCAUACCGGUUUCAGCUGGCUGGCUUUCGCGAUGCCACCGAGUAUGAGCAUUUUUACGGUGAAGAUCUGCCGGAUCGCUGGCCCAACGGCUUGGUGAAAGUCCUGAAGCUGAAGAGCGGCUACUUCUACUGCUAUAACCGCAAUCGUGAGUGUGCCCACAAGGACAUCCACUGCACCAAGAUCUACAGCUACUAGGUGCACGAUGUACACAUGAGCUGCUUGUGAUCAGCCAUGCAUGACUUCUGCACCUUGUCAACUGUGACCAUGAAGGUGACAGGUGAGAAUAGUCUUCCGCUCGCGCGCUCCAGCACUCUGCUGGUCCCGUUAAAAAAAGUUCACUUCAAACCUUUUUCAGUACGUCGAGCCUGGCCGUCUCAAUUGCAAGCUCCCUCGAUGUACAUCAAGCCUGGCCGUCUCAAUUGCAAGCCCCCUCAGUGUAUGCAGGUCGACUGGAGUAGGGAUUAUGAAACAUGUGAAGGGCAGAACUGAUGCCAGACUGACGUGUGCUCAGAUAGAGAGGCGUCACCUCACAUGAAUAUCCUCAUCAGUUACUCCAUGUUGGAUUGUAUACGCUGGUAGCGUCAUGCUAUUCUCGAGUACAGUGCUUUUCUUGUAGCUCUACUGUAGCCAGCAUGUGUAUGAUAUUCUCGCACCUACUUUAGCUAGCACGUACUCGAAGUAUGUGAUAAUCUCGCAUGCAGUUACUUGCUUAUAAAUCUAGGUCUAAUGCAGCUAGCACUUUCAGUGUAUAACGCUCAGCAUAUAGCAACGGACAUCGACUUUUAUAUUCUUGCACUAACCCCCACCACCACCAGGGGGACUGCCAAUACAUCAUUAUAGCUGCUGCGGUUGUUUCCUUCCAUCUCUUCACUUGCGAGUGCUUCGUUGUGAAGGCACUGCUUGUUGAUCAAGUCUUGAGACUUUCUACUUUGUAUAAUGUGCUGUGUGUAAUGCGCGGGUUUGAUAAAUCUUCCCCAUCCACGUC
Molecule: long non-coding RNA, 1285 nt
Organism: Sycon ciliatum
Lineage: Eukaryota; Metazoa; Porifera; Calcarea; Leucosolenida; Sycettidae
Exons: 3
Source: RefSeq, a predicted model, not a curated record